This 806-nucleotide ribosomal RNA is filed under the name Microbacterium sp. RNAcentral describes it as "bacterial SSU rRNA". It matches the Rfam family "Bacterial small subunit ribosomal RNA", at positions 67 to 883 of the family's 1533-position model. The record is from RNAcentral. Lineage: Bacteria; Bacillati; Actinomycetota; Actinomycetes; Micrococcales; Microbacteriaceae.
CGGUGAAGCCCAGCUUGCUGGGUGGAUCAGUGGCGAACGGGUGAGUAACACGUGAGCAACGUGCCCCAGACUCUGGGAUAACAGUUGGAAACAGCUGCUAAUACCGGAUACGAGACGUGAUCGCAUGGUCAACGUCUGGAAAGAUUUUUCGGUUUGGGAUCGGCUCGCGGCCUAUCAGCUUGUUGGUGAGGUAAUGGCUCACCAAGGCGUCGACGGGUAGCCGGCCUGAGAGGGUGACCGGCCACACUGGGACUGAGACACGGCCCAGACUCCUACGGGAGGCAGCAGUGGGGAAUAUUGCACAAUGGGCGAAAGCCUGAUGCAGCAACGCCGCGUGAGGGAUGACGGCCUUCGGGUUGUAAACCUCUUUUAGCAGGGAAGAAGCGAAAGUGACGGUACCUGCAGAAAAAGCGCCGGCUAACUACGUGCCAGCAGCCGCGGUAAUACGUAGGGCGCAAGCGUUAUCCGGAAUUAUUGGGCGUAAAGAGCUCGUAGGCGGUUUGUCGCGUCUGCUGUGAAAUCCCGAGGCUCAACCUCGGGCCUGCAGUGGGUACGGGCAGACUAGAGUGCGGUAGGGGAGAUUGGAACUCCUGGUGUAGCGGUGGAAUGCGCAGAUAUCAGGAAGAACACCGAUGGCGAAGGCAGAUCUCUGGGCCGUAACUGACGCUGAGGAGCGAAAGGGUGGGGAGCAAACAGGCUUAGAUACCCUGGUAGUCCACCCCGUAAACGUUGGGAACUAGUUGUGGGGACCAUUCCACGGUUUCCGUGACGCAGCUAACGCAUUAAGUUCCCCGCCUGGGGAGUAC